UAAUACGAAGGGGGCUAGCGUUGCUCGGAAUUACUGGGCGUAAAGGGAGCGUAGGCGGACAUUUAAGUCAGGGGUGAAAUCCCGAGGCUCAACCUCGGAACUGCCUUUGAUACUGGGUGUCUUGAGUGUGAGAGAGGUAUGUGGAACUCCGAGUGUAGAGGUGAAAUUCGUAGAUAUUCGGAAGAACACCAGUGGCGAAGGCGACAUACUGGCUCAUUACUGACGCUGAGGCUCGAAAGCGUGGGGAGCAAACAGG
Molecule: ribosomal RNA, 256 nt
Filed under: uncultured bacterium
Lineage: Bacteria
Description: partial 16S ribosomal RNA
Rfam family: Bacterial small subunit ribosomal RNA
Source: RNAcentral